RNAcentral lists this ribosomal RNA (460 nucleotides) under uncultured bacterium. RNAcentral's name for it is "partial 16S ribosomal RNA". It matches the Rfam family "Bacterial small subunit ribosomal RNA", at positions 338 to 795 of the family's 1533-position model. The record is from RNAcentral.
CCUACGGGAGGCAGCAGUGAGGAAUAUUGGUCAAUGGACGAGAGUCUGAACCAGCCAAGUAGCGUGAAGGAUGACUGCCCUAUGGGUUGUAAACUUCUUUUAUAUGGGAAUAAAACAGGGUAUGCAUACCCUCUUGUAUGUACCAUAUGAAUAAGGAUCGGCUAACUCCGUGCCAGCAGCCGCGGUAAUACGGGGGAUCCGAGCGUUAUCCGGAUUUAUUGGGGUUAAAGGGUGCGUAGGUGGAUUGUUAAGUCAGUUGUGAAAGUUUGCGGCUCAACCGUAAAAUUGCAGUUGAAACUGGCAGUCUGGAGUACGGUAGAGGUAGGCGGAAUUCGUGGUGUAGCGGUGAAAUGCUUAGAUAUCACGAAGAACUCCGAUUGCGAAGGCAGCUCACUGGACUGCAACUGACACUGAUGCUCGAAAGUGUGGGUAUCAAACAGGAUUAGAUACCCCGGUAGUC